UACGUAGGGGGCGAGCGUUGUCCGGAAUCAUUGGGCGUAAAGCGCGUGUAGGCGGCUCGUUAAGUCCGGUGUGAAACCUUGGGGCUCAACCCCAAGCCUGCACUGGAUACUGACGAGCUCGAGUCCGGGAGGGGAGAGCGGAAUUCCUAGUGUAGCGGUGAAAUGCGCAGAUAUUAGGAGGAACACCGGUGGCGAAGGCGGGUCUCUGGGCCGAUACUGACGCUGAGGAGCGAAAGCGUGGGGAGCGAACAGG
RNAcentral lists this ribosomal RNA (253 nucleotides) under uncultured bacterium. RNAcentral describes it as "partial 16S ribosomal RNA". It matches the Rfam family "Bacterial small subunit ribosomal RNA", at positions 524 to 776 of the family's 1533-position model. The record is from RNAcentral.